This 905-nucleotide ribosomal RNA is filed under the name uncultured bacterium. Its description in RNAcentral is "bacterial SSU rRNA". The stretch from base 1 to 807 matches the Rfam family "Bacterial small subunit ribosomal RNA", at positions 9 to 873 of the family's 1533-position model. The record is from RNAcentral.
GAGUUUCAUCCUGGCUCAGAAUUAACGCUGGCAGAGUGCAUAACACAUGCAAGUCGAGCGGAGUACGUAGCAAUACGUACUUAGCGGCAGACGAGUGAGUAACACGUAGAUAAUCUGCCCUUCAAUGGUGGAUAACUAGCCGAAAGGUUAGCUAAUACACCGUAUACUUCCCUGGGGGCAUCCUCGGGGAAAGAGAGGCCCGCAAGGGUCGUUGAAGGAGGAAUCUGCGGCCCAUCAGCUAGUUGGCGGUGUAAUAGACCACCAAGGCUACGACGGGUACCCGGCCUGAAAGGGCGGACGGGCACGAUGGCACUGAGACACGGGCCAUACUCCUACGGGAGGCAGCAGUGGGGAAUUUUGGACAAUGGGCGAAAGCCUGAUCCAGCAACUCUGCGUGAGGGACGAAGGUCUUCGGAUCGUAAACCUCUUUUGCUAGGGGCGAACACCCGCAAGGGUUUGACGGUACCUAGCGAAUAAGCCACGGCUAACUAUGUGCCAGCAGCCGCGGUAAGACAUAGGUGGCAAGCGUUAUUCGGAAUUACUAGGCGUAAAGCGAGUGUAGGCGGGCGCUUAAGUCCGACGUUAAAUCUCCAGGCUUAACUUGGAGCUGUCGUCGGAUACUGGGCGUCUCGAGUGAGGUAGGGGUGGCGGAAUUCCGGUGUAGCGGUGAAUGCGUAGAAUCGGAGGACACUAUGCGAAGCAGCACUGGCCUUAUGACCUAGAUCGAAGUGGGGAGCACAGAUAGAUACUGUAGUCACUGUACGAGAACUAAGUGGAGUAGACCCUCGGCUCCUACCAUAGUUCGCUGGAUCGNCCAGUAAUCAGAUGAGGCGACACGGACUGGUAUCACUCCAACUCUGUCACAUAAAUUGACUGACCAGAUACAGUUGUGCCCGCGAUGUACC